Molecule: ribosomal RNA, 255 nt
Filed under: uncultured bacterium
Lineage: Bacteria
Description: partial 16S ribosomal RNA
Rfam family: Bacterial small subunit ribosomal RNA
Source: RNAcentral
GAUCCUGGCUCAGGACGAACGCUGGCGGCGUGCUUAACACAUGCAAGUCGAACGAAAAGACGGAAAGAGCUUGCUCUUUCCGGAAUUGAGUGGCAAACGGGUGAGUAACACGUAAACAACCUGCCUUCAGGAUGGGGACAACAGACGGAAACGACUGCUAAUACCGAAUAAGUUCCAAGAGCCGCAUGGCCCAUGGAAGAAAAGGUGGCCUCUACCUGUAAGCUAUCGCCUGAAGAGGGGUUUGCGUCUGAUUAG